RNAcentral lists this ribosomal RNA (492 nucleotides) under uncultured bacterium. RNAcentral describes it as "partial 16S ribosomal RNA". It matches the Rfam family "Bacterial small subunit ribosomal RNA", at positions 29 to 507 of the family's 1533-position model. The record is from RNAcentral.
AGUGAACGCUGGCGGUAGGCCUAACACAUGCAAGUCGAACGGCAGCACGGUAAGAGCUUGCUCUUACGGGUGGCGAGUGGCGGACGGGUGAGGAAUACAUCGGAAUCUACUUUUUCGUGGGGGAUAACGUAGGGAAACUUACGCUAAUACCGCAUACGACCUACGGGUGAAAGCAGGGGAUCUUCGGACCUUGCGCGAUUGAAUGAGCCGAUGUCGGAUUAGCUAGUUGGCGGGGUAAAGGCCCACCAAGGCGACGAUCCGUAGCUGGUCUGAGAGGAUGAUCAGCCACACUGGAUCUGAGACACGGUCCAGACUCCUACGGGAGGCAGCAGUGGGGAAUAUUGGACAAUGGGCGCAAGCCUGAUCCAGCCAUACCGCGUGGGUGAAGAAGGCCUUCGGGUUGUAAAGCCCUUUUGUUGGGAAAGAAAAGCAGCAGGUUAAUACCCCGCUGUUCUGACGGUACCCAAAGAAUAAGCACCGGCUAACUUCGUG